GGCUGUGAGGGCGGCCUGGCUGUGACAUGUCACUCCACUGACCGCCAGGGCCGAUUCGGCUGACCUGGCUGGCUGGCUGGCGUCCCUCCUCCCUCGCCCAUCCAUGCCCUCGCACUGAGUGGAAAAGGAUGACCUUCCCCCAGAGGAGAGGACCCGUCUCGGUCUCGGGUCAAGGGCAUAUGAGUAGCCGCGCUCCCCCGUGGGAGCCUCCCCACAAGCUCUCGGAGGCUCCAGUGGGAUCACCGGCGCUCGAGGCUGAAGUGACAUCGGACUGGAGUC
Unclassified non-coding RNA from Myotis lucifugus (little brown bat), 279 nucleotides. Its record names the gene 7SK. It matches the Rfam family "7SK RNA". Rfam says of the family: 7SK was discovered as an abundant small nuclear RNA in the mid-70s but a possible function has only recently been suggested. Two independent studies have found that 7SK RNA binds the CDK9/cyclin T complex (known as elongation factor P-TEFb). P-TEFb activates transcription by phosphorylating the C-terminal domain of RNA polymerase II. The record is from Ensembl. NCBI's taxonomy places the organism in Eukaryota, Metazoa, Chordata, Mammalia, Chiroptera, Vespertilionidae.